AAUAUAUUGUUUCGGAGACACUAGUUCUUGAAAAACUAAAUAAGAUGUUCAACUCAUCUAUAUAUUU
This 67-nucleotide transfer RNA is filed under the name Olavius algarvensis. Lineage: Eukaryota; Metazoa; Annelida; Clitellata; Tubificida; Naididae. The record is from RNAcentral.